GACGAACGCUGGCGGCGUGCUUAACACAUGCAAGUCGAACGGAAAGGCCCUGCUUUUGUGGGUUGCUCGAGUGGCGAACGGGUGAGUAACACGUGAGUAACCUGCCCUUGACUUUGGGAUAACUUCAGGAAACUGGGGCUAAUACCGGAUAGGAGCUCCUGCUGCAUGGUGGGGGUUGGAAAGUUUCGGCGGUUGGGGAUGUACUCGCGGCUUAUCAGCUUGUUGGUGGGGUAGUGGCUUACCAAGGCUUUGACGGGUAGCCGGCCUGAGAGGGUGACCGGCGACAUUGGGACUGAGAGACGGACCAGAAGGGUACGGGAGGCAGCAGGGGGGAAUAUUGCAGAAUGGGCGGAAGCGUGAGGCAGAAACGCCGCGUGCGGGAUGACGGCCUUCGGGUGAUGAACAGCUUUGGAAGGUGACGAAGAGGGAGUGACGGUAAUGGGUAAAGAAGCACCGGCUAACUACGUG
RNAcentral lists this ribosomal RNA (468 nucleotides) under uncultured bacterium. RNAcentral's name for it is "partial 16S ribosomal RNA". It matches the Rfam family "Bacterial small subunit ribosomal RNA", at positions 28 to 507 of the family's 1533-position model. The record is from RNAcentral.